AAUGGGCGCAAGCCUGAACCAGCCAUGCCGCGUGAAGGAUGACGGCCCUAUGGGUUGUAAACUUCUUUUGUACGGGAAAAAACCACCGGUCGUGUAUCGGCGCUGAUGGUACCGUAAGAAUAAGCAUCGGCUAACUACGUGCCAGCAGCCGCGGUAAUACGGAGGAUGCAAGCGUUAUCCGGAUUCAUUUGGUUUAAAGGGUGCGCAGGCGGAAUAAUAAGUCAGCGGUUAAAGCCUACAGCUUAACUGUAGAACUGCCAUUGAUACUGUUAUUCUUGAGUGUUGUUGAGGAAGGCGGAAUUUGUCAUGUAGCGGUGAAAUGCUUAGAUAUGACACAGAACACCGAUCGCGAAGGCAGCUUACCAAGCAACAACUGACGCUCAUGCACGAAAGCGUGGGGAUCAAA
Molecule: ribosomal RNA, 406 nt
Filed under: uncultured bacterium
Lineage: Bacteria
Description: bacterial SSU rRNA
Rfam family: Bacterial small subunit ribosomal RNA
Source: RNAcentral